RNAcentral lists this long non-coding RNA (1250 nucleotides) under Homo sapiens (human). RNAcentral describes it as "long intergenic non-protein coding RNA 2241". Lineage: Eukaryota; Metazoa; Chordata; Mammalia; Primates; Hominidae. The record is from RNAcentral.
GCUCUCGCCUGCCGCCAUGUAAACGUUCUUUGCUCCUGCUUCGUCUUCUGCCGUGAUUGUGAGGCCUCCCCAGCCAUGUGGAACUACUCAUCACUCACUGCAGAUGUUACUUUAAGACAUUCUGGAGCAGCGUCAUGUGCAGGAACAAUAAGGAAGUGAGUGCUUUUGUAAUUCCUGAACAACUGUGUCUUACACUUACUAAGGGAUUCAUGGGCAAUAUGACUGAAUAGGAACAGCUCCAGUCUGAAGCUCCCAGUGAGACCAACAUAGAAGUGCCUUUCACCUCCUGCCAUGAUUCUGAGGCCUCCUCAGCCAUGUGGAACUUUCUCUUGCCUGCCACCAUGUAAGAUAUGCUUUUACUCUUCCGCCUUCCACCGUGACUGUGAGGCCUCCCCAGCCAUGUGAAACUGCCUUUGAGCUUAUACUGAAUUAUACCACCAGCUUUCCUAGGUCUUGAAGCUUACAGACAGCAGAUCUUGGGACUUCUCAGGCACCAUAAUCAAUCAUAGAUAAAUGAUCCAAUGAUUCGGAACUUGAAAAGUGGUAGCUUUAUGAAUUCUCCUUAAGAAGAAACCUGUGCCCUGAUCUUGCCUACUCACCCAAAGGCACUGUGAGAUAGCAUCAAAGGAACAGCUAGUAAGAGACACAGAGCCAGAAAUCAGGGAAGUAAAAUACACUUGACAUCUACGUUCGGAAAGAAAUUUUAGGAGGCAGAAGCAAAUGGAUCAGAAGCUGCUUAUAUUUUUGCAAGAUUACCAAAGAAACCAUUGGUGGAGAAAGUUCUGUGACCAACUUGUCUGAGUCUAGUAAGAUUGAACGCUCACACACAAGUUUCAUGAAGUGGGUUUGAUACUUACAGAUAAGCAGCAAGGACCAACAGAAGCUGAUGAUCUAUGGUGAACUUUUUCCCAAGGCUCCGGAAAGCUGCCUAAAGUAGAUGGAGUCUUCUCUGUGUGUGCCCCACUGGUCCUGCAGUUGAAGGAUCCGGUAAAGCAGCCUGCCCUUGGUUUUAUACUCCAGAGGAACGUGAUUCGCUGGACUAAAGCAUUGAAGUGCAUCCUGUUUCCGGGGGGCACUGGAACAGAGCCUGGUCUGUUCUAGCCAGUCCCUUUCUAUCUCAGGAUAACAUUCUACAGUUAUUCUUGAGAACUAUAAUCAAAUAAGCAGGGAGAACUGGGUAAGUCCAAGGCUUAUCUAUACAAGCCUUUAAAUAUUCAAGACCAAAAAAAAAAAAAAAAAAAAAAAAAAAA